CAUCCCCUGCGGUGUUCGGCAGCAGGCCCGAUACUCCCUUGAGCCUAUGCUUUUAGCAUCCCGGGACCUCGUUGCGGAUGCCAGUGUGCAUGUCCGCCUCGCAGCGGAAAGCCUGAGGCGCCGCUUCUGUCCCACUUGAACCUCACGGUUCAAGGAUGACGGCAAGCACCGACACAGGCGGGGGAUGU
RNAcentral lists this non-coding RNA (188 nucleotides) under Gammaproteobacteria bacterium. RNAcentral's name for it is "6S RNA". It matches the Rfam family "6S / SsrS RNA". From Rfam's summary of the family: E. coli 6S RNA was the first non coding RNA to be sequenced, but its function was unknown until recently. It consists of 184 nucleotides that fold into an extended hairpin structure with a large single-stranded internal bulge. The record is from RNAcentral. Lineage: Bacteria; Pseudomonadati; Pseudomonadota; Gammaproteobacteria.